GCGCGGCCCGGAGCGGCGGCGGCGGUGGCGGCGGCGGCGGCGCUUCCCGCGGGCUCGCCCUCAGGUGUUCGCGGCUGCCGUCGCCGAAGAUCGCGGGUCGGGGCCUCGCGGCGAUCGCCCUGGGCGGGCCGGAGACGCCUCGGGCCCCCUGGCGGCUCGGGGUCCACCCGGCGCCGCGGGCCCGCCGCUCUCCCUCGCCUCGCCUUUGCGCCUCUUCUCGCUCUGCCUCUCCAUUUAUUAUUAUUAUCAUUUUUGUUUUCAAAUGGUGUAGCCGCCAGAGGUGCGGUGCUAAAUUCUUGGAAGGGGCCCGGAUGUACUGAGGAUGCAUUACAAUCUCACGAAAGGAGGCGGUAGUGGAAAGCAGCAGUUUUUGGUGUUUGGUGCAAUAAUGGGGAUCAGGUAAUCACCCGAAGGGAGCAAG
Molecule: long non-coding RNA, 421 nt
Filed under: Rattus norvegicus (Norway rat)
Lineage: Eukaryota; Metazoa; Chordata; Mammalia; Rodentia; Muridae
Description: long non-coding RNA NONRATT021778
Source: RNAcentral